This 252-nucleotide ribosomal RNA is filed under the name uncultured bacterium. Its description in RNAcentral is "partial 16S ribosomal RNA". It matches the Rfam family "Bacterial small subunit ribosomal RNA", at positions 524 to 776 of the family's 1533-position model. The record is from RNAcentral.
UACGUAUGGGGCGAGCGUUGUCCGGAAUUAUUGGGCGUAAAGGGUACGUAGGCGGUUAGAUAAGUCAGAUGUAAAAGCGUGGGGCUCAACCCCAUAAAGCAUUUGAAACUGUGUAACUUGAGUAGUGGAGAGGAAAGUGGAAUUCCUAGUGUAGCGGUGAAAUGCGUAGAUAUUAGGAGGAAUACCAGUGGCGAAGGCGACUUUCUGGACACAAACUGACGCUGAGGUACGAAAGCAUGGGGAGCAAACAGG